RNAcentral lists this long non-coding RNA (1197 nucleotides) under Chinchilla lanigera (long-tailed chinchilla). Its description in RNAcentral is "lncRNA (ENSCLAG00000025325.1)". Lineage: Eukaryota; Metazoa; Chordata; Mammalia; Rodentia; Chinchillidae. The record is from RNAcentral.
CCUGCCCAAAACUGUGCAUGUGGCUCUCUAGAGUCUUGCAAAAUAUGGAAAAAUGAUUAAACUGGACUAUUUUCUUCUGUGGUGGCCCAGGCCCUGGUGAAUGGGCUUGCUUAAUAUUUUUUCUGACCUAUCCCAAUUAUCAAUAGCUAAUGUCCUUACUUGGAGAAACCAAUGAUUACGUUUAACGAUUUCAUGUAACAUUCUUGACAAAGACUGUGUGCUAACCUGUGCUCUUGCUUGUUUAAGAUCUUUUUAAAUAACUGUACAUAGCAUUGUUCUUCAACAGACAAAUUCUGCUCCAUAGCCCCAGUUUGAAAAUUUGCAGCAGUUACUUACUUUCAUUUUUGCCAGAGACCUUUGGAUUUCUCCUUGCAGGAUUCUCCUUUUUUGUUGUAUUUCUCAUUCCUUUGGAACUUCUUCCUUUCAAGUUCCUGUUUGGGCAUCAAUUUUAGGAGCCAGCCUGCAAACUUACCUCGGAGGUAUGAUGAAGAAUAAAAGAGGAAGAGAUAAAUUUCCAAGAAAAGGGGACUGGGGCCUCCCAAGAGGAUAAUCAAGAGGAUAUCUCAAGAGGACAAGAGCACUGGGAGUCUAGAAGUUCCACUUUUUAUUAGUAAAACAAGACAAUGUAGCAAUCCCACAACCCAGGCUUGAUAAAAUGCAAAUGAUUAACAAGAAACAUAACAACUUUACAUCUGGAAAUGUAAUUUUCUUUGUGUAGUUCUAGCCUGUUGUUGCCCUGCCCAGGAGGUAUUGUGUGUCACCAUUCCCGCCUACAAAGGAAGGGACAGUCUUAUACGCCCUAUGCCAUUCCUAGGAAAGGUCAACAAGGCCCCAGUCUCUGUCAUUGAUAACGCAUCCCAGUCUCCCUAUGAGUUUCACAGGUUCUAGCCCAGAACCCAUAAACAUGUUGAGAAAAAAUACAAUUUGCUGGAUCCUAAGAUCACUCUGUGGUGUGUGUGUGUGUGUGUGUGCGUGCACGCGCACACAUGUGUACACACUUGGAAGAGAAAGACAUCUUCGAAUGUGUGACAAACCAGAGAAAAUCGAGAUCAAUAAAGUACUUGAACUUACUCUUCUGAUAUUAAGCAAAUUCCAAGUUUCUCAUGGCAUUUCACAUACGCUUCUAUCAACACAUUUCCACCACUUCAAGUACUGUGGAUAUCAGUUCCAUGAAAGUGAGUUAUCAUGUCAUCAUUU